GAGCGAGAAAGCCCCUUCGGGGGUUAGUAAAGCGGCGGACGGGUGAGUAACACGUGAGCGAUCUACCCAAAGGUGGGGGACAACUCAGGGAAACUUGAGCUAAUACCGCGUACAGCGCCGGCUUGGAAGCCUGGCGUGAAAGCUGGCCUCUACUUGUAAGCUAGCGCCUUUGGAUGAGCUCGCGGCCUAUCAGCUCGUUGGUGGGGUAAUGGCCUACCAAGGCGAUGACGGGUAGCUGGCGUGAGAGCGCGACCAGCCACACUGGGACUGAGACACGGCCCAGACUCCUACGGGAGGCAGCAGUGGGGAAUAUUGCGCAAUGGGCGAAAGCCUGACGCAGCGACGCCGCGUGGGGGAGGAGGGCCUCAGGGUUGUAAACCCCUGUCAGGUGGGACGAAACCCGUAGUGUCUAAUAGGCAUUACGAUUGACGGUACCACCAGAGGAAGCUCCGGCUAACUCCGUGCCAGCAGCCGCGGUAAUACGGGGGGAGCAAGCGUUGUUCGGAAUUACUGGGCGUAAAGGGCGCGUAGGCGGCCAAGUCAGUCGCAUGUGAAAGGCCGGGGCUCAACCCCGAGCACUGCAUGCGAUACUGCUUGGCUCGAGAGAGGUAGGGGCGAGUGGAAUUCCCGGUGUAGCGGUGGAAUGCGUAGAUAUCGGGAG
RNAcentral lists this ribosomal RNA (661 nucleotides) under uncultured bacterium. RNAcentral's name for it is "bacterial SSU rRNA". It matches the Rfam family "Bacterial small subunit ribosomal RNA", at positions 64 to 703 of the family's 1533-position model. The record is from RNAcentral.